CCGAGCAGUAUGCUCUGCUGAAAGAAAAGGGAAGCACUGAUCAUCCUGGGGUGGUGUGGGAUUCAUUGUUCCUCAAGCAGGUGAUCCUUUCACUGUCCCCUUGAUGGGACAUGUUUCCGGUGUUAACGGAGAAAAUAUAGAGUGCCGAUGAUGCCUGGAGUAAUAGAAGCAGGCUUAGGAGGAGAACAAAGGGAGGGGGGGUGGAGCAGGGGUGGGGUGGGAUGGUGCACUGGAUUGAUCAGGGACUCCAUGCUAUUCCAUUUGAAGUCAACAAAACUUGUCUUCAGACUCAGGUUUACCAUAGACAGCAUCAUCUUCUGCAUUCAGUGGACUCAUCCCAAAGUUGACAGUGUAUGUCAAGCAAAGCUCAGUUUCCAAAGUGGUAGUCCCAAACCAGGCUCCGGGAUAUACACCUCGAGAUAGGCAUGACUCUACCACGUUGACACUUGUUGUUUUGGGGUUGAGAGUCCAGCUCACCCGCAACCCCAUACACAACCUGCACAGCCUGAUGACAGUGGGGAUACUCAGUUUCCCACAGAGACUGUAGACCCUAUAAGGAAAGAACCUUGGGAACUGGUAUAUCUCAAUUUAAGGCAGAUUGUGCAGUCUUUCAACAAGGGGUUAGAGGGGGUCAUUUGAGUAAUACAAAGUUUGUAAGGGGGUUACUUUACUUUAUUACAAAUAAUAAAAUACAUUUUAAAUUAAUGAAAUGACUCAGGCUUAUCUGAUUGUGUCACAAGUGUUAACACAUUGAAAUCUCCACAAUAUCCAGAAUGACUCCCCCCAACCCCAACUCCACCCCAUCCUUCAAAAGUAGGACAUAGCGUGAUAUUUUGUUGAUAAUAUCAAGGCAUGCCUUAAGCUACUAUUUUACAGGUUUUUUUUCCCCCUGUGGAAGUCCUCAGAAAACAAGAGUGCCUGGGCCCUGUUACCCCAGAAGUACUGUCUCACCAUUUCAUGAAUAAGCAAACACAUUUUCAUGGUGACCAUUGAGCAUGGACUGUCUCUGUGGAAAGAACCCUGAAAGAUAAAUGUGUCUGCAGACCCUGUGCCAACAACAUGGCCUUCCAGGGAGGAUACCCUAAGAUGGCAGCUGCUCUCUCACUCAGUAUUAGUUGAGGGAAACCAACAUACUUCAGACCAAACAGGCUGUCUGGGGUAAGAAAUU
RNAcentral lists this long non-coding RNA (1168 nucleotides) under Rattus norvegicus (Norway rat). RNAcentral describes it as "long non-coding RNA NONRATT000080". The record is from RNAcentral. Lineage: Eukaryota; Metazoa; Chordata; Mammalia; Rodentia; Muridae.